Molecule: long non-coding RNA, 1302 nt
Organism: Wyeomyia smithii (pitcher-plant mosquito)
Lineage: Eukaryota; Metazoa; Arthropoda; Insecta; Diptera; Culicidae
Exons: 3
Source: RefSeq, a predicted model, not a curated record
CGUUGGAAAAAUUAUGUUUUGGUACAAUGACUGUAGUGCUUUUUUUUUUUUUUGAAAAUUUCACAUGAUAUGCGUGAAUAAAUGUGCAUUAACUUUUCUAAAAUAUUUCGUUUGUCUACACCAACAAAAAUAUUUUUUUAUCGCGAGCACAAUUGCAUAACCUUUUAAGACGGAAGCUGCGUGGCCGCAAGGUUACAGAGUCUGCUUUGUCAGUCGAUAUCAAUAAGAAUUAACCAUGGGUUUAUUCUCAGGCUCCCCCAUCAAUUACCUUUCCUUUACUCUAAAUUCUAUUAUACCUUUGUGUGACUUUCUCUUAACGAAAAUAAUUCCCUAUCAUCAAUAAAACUGACCCAAAGGGCGCACGAUUUUAGUUGAAAAGUAUUGCAGUUUUAGAAAAAUCUUGCAUUCAUUCCUAGGGUCCAAUGAAAAACAAUGAGACAGGUGAGUACGAUCAGCCAACCUACUUGUUUCGGGAAAAACAUGGGAAAUGUGGUCCCAUAAGCUUCUGUACUGGUUAGUGGAGCAAAAUGGACACAGCUUUGCUAGAAGCUUUGUGAGAUGAUAGUUUACGACAAUAAAUAUUCAAAAUUUUGAGUUGUGUCGUUAUCCGACGAUACAAUGGUCACUUCUUCACAAUGCACUUCGUUUGGAGAUAAACACUUUGGCGAUACGCUGCAGUUUCCAAGGAAUCACACGGAUUCUUGCAAAGCUGUGAAUUGACUUUCACUGUCUUCCAGCAGACUAUUUUACUACCGGAGACACCCGACUUUGCAAUGUAAGUAAACAAGAAAAUAAUUGCAAGUGAUGAAUAAAAUGUAUUUUUUUUGUCAUUUUGAGUAGCUUCAUGUUAAUUACGAGCGGAAUCUGUACGCGGCCGUAGUCACAGGAAGCUGAGGUCUAUACCGGGUGCGCUUGAAGCUUCCAAUGCCGAACUUGAGUGAAACAUACCAGCACGAGAACAUGAAGAAGAAACUGCUGUUGCUGGACUACUGCUGCUGUUGGGACUACUGUUGCUGCUGGGACUAUUACUACUGCUGCUGGGACUGCUGCCGAACUGUUGCCUCCAAGCAGUUUCGUGGAAACUCUAGGAACAACUAUUACAACAUGAUCCAAUGAUCAACUGGAAGGCUCAGAAAUAUUGAAACGGAUAGGUAAAAUUGCUCCAGCGGGAGAACCUUGACUGAUACGAAAAAUUCAGCGAUUGCGACAUCGAUCGGGCAAGCAAGUCUACACAAUUGGAACGCUGCGUUCAUACACAUAUCCUGUUGUUACCAGGAAAUGAUUCAAUUAAAUGAACAAACU